RNAcentral lists this ribosomal RNA (253 nucleotides) under uncultured bacterium. Its description in RNAcentral is "partial 16S ribosomal RNA". It matches the Rfam family "Bacterial small subunit ribosomal RNA", at positions 524 to 776 of the family's 1533-position model. The record is from RNAcentral.
UACAGAGGUCUCAACCGUUGUUCAGAUUCAUUGGGCGUAAAGGGUGCGUAGGCGGUCGCGUAAGUCAGGUGUGAAAUCUCUGGGCUCAACCCAGAAACUGCACUUGAUACUGCGUGGCUAGGAUACUGGAGAGGAGACUGGAAUUUACGGUGUAGCAGUGAAAUGCGUAGAUAUCGUAAGGAAGACCAGUGGCGAAGGCGAGUCUCUGGACAGUUAUCGACGCUGAGGCACGAAGGCUAGGGGAGCAAACGGG